AACGAACGCUGGCGGCAGGCCUAACACAUGCAAGUCGAACGCUCGUCUUCGGACGGGAGUGGCGCACGGGUGAGUAACACGUGGGAACCUACCUUCUGGUACGGAACAACCGAGGGAAACUUCGGCUAAUACCGUAUACGACCUCCGGGUGAAAGAUUGAUCGCCGGAAGAGGGGCCCGCGUCCGAUUAGGUAGUUGGUGGGGUAACGGCCUACCAAGCCGACGAUCGGUAGCUGGUCUGAGAGGAUGACCAGCCACACUGGGACUGAGACACGGCCCCAGACUCCUACGGGAGGCAGCAGUGGGGAAUAUUGGACAAUGGCGCAAGCCUGAUCCAGCCAUGCCGCGUGAGUGAUGAAGGCCUUCGGGUUGUAAAGCUCUUUCACCCACGACGAUGAUGACGGUAGUGGGAGAAGAAGCCCCGGCUAACUUCGUGCCAGCAGCCGCGGUAAUACGAAGG
This 459-nucleotide ribosomal RNA is filed under the name Inquilinus limosus. RNAcentral describes it as "bacterial SSU rRNA". It matches the Rfam family "Bacterial small subunit ribosomal RNA", at positions 29 to 531 of the family's 1533-position model. Lineage: Bacteria; Pseudomonadati; Pseudomonadota; Alphaproteobacteria; Rhodospirillales; Rhodospirillaceae. The record is from RNAcentral.